Molecule: ribosomal RNA, 460 nt
Filed under: uncultured bacterium
Lineage: Bacteria
Description: partial 16S ribosomal RNA
Rfam family: Bacterial small subunit ribosomal RNA
Source: RNAcentral
CCUACGGGGAGCAGCAGUGAGGAAUAUUGGUCAAUGGACGAGAGUCUGAACCAGCCAAGUAGCGUGAAGGAUGACUGCCCUAUGGGUUGUAAACUUCUUUUAUAUGGGAAUAAAACGUUCCACGUGUGGGAUUUUGUAUGUACCAUAUGAAUAAGGAUCGGCUAACUCCGUGCCAGCAGCCGCGGUAAUACGGAGGAUCCGAGCGUUAUCCGGAUUUAUUGGGUUUAAAGGGAGCGUAGGUGGAUUGUUAAGUCAGUUGUGAAAGUUUGCGGCUCAACCGUAAAAUUGCAGUUGAAACUGGCAGUCUUGAGUACAGUAGAGGUGGGCGGAAUUCGUGGUGUAGCGGUGAAAUGCUUAGAUAUCACGAAGAACUCUGAUUGCGAAGGCAGUUCACUGGACUGCAACUGACACUGAGGCUCGAAAGUGUGGGUAUCAAACAGGAUUAGAUACCCGGGUAGUC